GAAGCAGGUGAUGACAAUCAGACAGGGACAUUAGAGCCAUCUAAUGGUUAUGAUAGACCAAGUCUAUAAUGGGAAUCUUUCUUAUGUUUA
RNAcentral lists this small nucleolar RNA (90 nucleotides) under Triticum dicoccoides. RNAcentral describes it as "snoRNA snoR44_J54". It matches the Rfam family "Small nucleolar RNA R44/J54/Z268 family". Rfam says of the family: R44, J54 and Z268 are members of the C/D class of snoRNA which contain the C (UGAUGA) and D (CUGA) box motifs. Most of the members of the box C/D family function in directing site-specific 2'-O-methylation of substrate RNAs. Lineage: Eukaryota; Viridiplantae; Streptophyta; Magnoliopsida; Poales; Poaceae. The record is from RNAcentral.